This is a long non-coding RNA of Patella vulgata (common limpet), 616 nucleotides long. RefSeq lists it as uncharacterized. NCBI's taxonomy places the organism in Eukaryota, Metazoa, Mollusca, Gastropoda, Patellidae. The record is from RefSeq and is a predicted model, not a curated record. The transcript is spliced from 4 exons.
CCCUAUAAAAGGUGGAGAUUUUGUAUCUCUUGUCACAGACUGUUUCAGUUAUCCGAAAUUUAGAUAUCUGACGUAUAUUACAAGAUGAAAUCUACAGCUGGUAUUUUACUGGUUUUGUGUGCCGUGAUGAUCUACGUUGAGGCCGGGGAUCCUUGUGCAACUCACAAAUGUCCAUGUGGACAUACAUGUCGUCUACAAAAAGUCGACUGCUUUACAACACCUUGUCCUCCAGUACCAACUUGUAUCAUCGAAGCAUGUGUUCAGACUACAAAAGCCUGUAAAGUAAAUUAUCCUAUACUUGAUGCGAAUAACAAAGAGCUAUUUUGUGGACGUGGACCAAACAGAGUUACCUGCCCUGAUCAUACAUCUUGUACAAUCCAUCAAACAGACCUUUACGCUGUUUGUUGUUAUACAGGACCAAAAAUUCAAAUAUAUGUAGAAGAUGUUAAAGCCUGAUUAGAACCGAAAGACAAAAAAUCUGAAUACACUGUAUUACACGUAUCACAUCUAUUAUCUGAAUAAAACUUAUACUAUAAUAAAAAUCUGAAUAACACUUAUACUAUAAUAAAAAUCUGAAUAACACUUAUAUACUAUAAUAAAAAUCUGAAUACAUGAA